This 468-nucleotide ribosomal RNA is filed under the name uncultured bacterium. RNAcentral's name for it is "partial 16S ribosomal RNA". It matches the Rfam family "Bacterial small subunit ribosomal RNA", at positions 28 to 507 of the family's 1533-position model. The record is from RNAcentral.
GACGAACGCUGGCGGCGUGCUUAACACAUGCAAGUCGAACGGAAAGGCCCUGCUUUUGUGGGGUGCCCGAGUGGCGAACGGGUGAGUAACACGUGAGUAACCUGCCCUUGACUUUGGGAUGACUUCAGGAAACUGGGGCUAAUACCGGAUAGGAGCUCCUGCUGCAUGGUGGGGGUUGGAAAGUUUCGGCGGUUGGGGAUGGACUCGCGGCUUAUCAGCUUGUUGGUGGGGUAGUGGCUUACCAAGGCUUUGACGGGUAGCCGGCCUGAGAGGGUGACCGGCCACAUUGGGACUGAGAUACGGACCAGACUCCUACGGGAGGCAGCAGUGGGAAAUAUUGCACAAUGGGCGGAAGUGUGAUGCGGAAACGCCGCGUGCGGGAUGACGGCCUUCGGGUUGUAAACCGCUUUCGCCUGUGACGAAGCGUGAGUGACGGUAAUGGGUAAAGAAGCACCGGCUAACUACGUG